Molecule: ribosomal RNA, 955 nt
Filed under: Triticum aestivum (bread wheat)
Lineage: Eukaryota; Viridiplantae; Streptophyta; Magnoliopsida; Poales; Poaceae
Description: partial small subunit ribosomal RNA
Source: RNAcentral
GGGACGGGGGAGAGGGGCAGGUGGAAUGGAGGAAGACGAGAGAGAGGAAUAGACGAAUGUCGACGAAAUGCAACCUACGAACAGGUUUGCGUGGUCUAGGAACCUAUCGGUGUAGGAGAUUGCUCAGAGGCGUCACGAGAUGAUAAACGGUCCACACGUCAGAUAAACCCAGAAGGUUUUUUUGCCGGUCCUCUAGGAUCUCCGUGCCGGGGCCUGACUUCGGUGGGACUUGGAUAGAAAACUUUGGUAGGAGUACCUUAACCAGCUCGAUGCGUGCUGUAGAAACCGACUCCGUUACAAACUGUUCGAACUCGAGGGUUCUGGUCAAAUGGUACACGUAUACGAACUCGUUCCGCCUAUAUCCCGUGUCUAACUCAAAGUGGUAUGGUCUCUCGCAAUAUUACGAAGGCGUGCGGCCUGAUUUAACAACUCGGUAUGUACACAAUCGUCUCUCCGUCGUUACCUAGUCCGUCGGCUAGUUCGUUAAUGUAUGUACCUUUUAUUACUUUUGUUCCAAGAACGACUAAUAUUGAUGAUAGCCGACGUUGUUCUUUUUGUUAGAACACGUUCCGAAAGUCUAUGGAACAGUCUCUCUUGCUUUCUUCAGUUGGUCGCGUUGGUCUGGUAGUAUGUCUACUGAUUUCUCCGCAGGUUAAUAGACCUUCUUCACGUACGACGUAGUCUGUUCUAGGUACCAGAACGACGGUGACGGAAUCUGGGACGACGGUCGGACAGAGAAAGGUGAGAUUUUGUUUGAUAAAACCGCUAAGUUCUAAGUGAACAACGAGAAGUUUCGUGAUGGCGGCGACGUGCACGGAGGGAUCUCCUUUUCCCGUACAUGAGUCUCCUACUACACCGAGUUGGUUGGAUGCUACCCGAAAGACUACUUCUCUGGCUACUUCUAACGGUAGUUCUGUACCUACUACUGAUGCGAGUGAUACACGCUAGGGGUACU